This 465-nucleotide ribosomal RNA is filed under the name uncultured bacterium. RNAcentral describes it as "partial 16S ribosomal RNA". It matches the Rfam family "Bacterial small subunit ribosomal RNA", at positions 28 to 507 of the family's 1533-position model. The record is from RNAcentral.
GACGAACGCUGGCGGCGUGCUUAACACUUGCAAGUCGAACGGAAAGGCCCUGCUUGCCGGGUACUCGAGUGGCGAACGGGUGAGUAACACGUGGGUGAUCUGCCCUGCACUUCGGGAUAAGCCUGGGAAACUGGGUCUAAUACCGGAUAGGAGCCAUUUUUAGUGUGAUGGUUGGAAAGUUUUUUCGGUGUAGGAUGAGCUCGCGGCCUAUCAGCUUGUUGGUGGGGUAAUGGCCUACCAAGGCGGCGACGGGUAGCCGGCCUGAGAGGGUGGACGGCCACAUUGGGACUGAGAUACGGCCCAGACUCCUACGGGAGGCAGCAGUGGGGAAUAUUGCACAAUGGGCGCAAGCCUGAUGCAGCGACGCCGCGUGGGGGAUGACGGCCUUCGGGUUGUAAACGCCUUUCGCUAGGGACGAAGCUUUUUGUGACGGUACCUAGAGAAGAAGCACCGGCUAACUACGUG